RNAcentral lists this ribosomal RNA (301 nucleotides) under uncultured bacterium. RNAcentral's name for it is "partial 16S ribosomal RNA". It matches the Rfam family "Bacterial small subunit ribosomal RNA", at positions 509 to 808 of the family's 1533-position model. The record is from RNAcentral.
CAGUCGCCGCGGUAAUACGUAGGUCCCGAGCGUUGUCCGGAUUUAUUGGGCGUAAAGCGAGCGCAGGCGGUUAGAUAAGUCUGAAGUUAAAGGCUGUGGCUUAACCAUAGUACGCUUUGGAAACUGUUUAACUUGAGUGCAAGAGGGGAAAGUGGAACUCCAUGUGUAGCGGUGAAAUGCGUAGAUAUAUGGAGGAACACCGGUGGCGAAAGCGACUCUCUGGCUUGUAACUGACGCUGAGGCUCGAAAGCGUGGGGAGCAAACAGGAUUAGAUACCCCUGUAGUCCCUGUCUCUUAUACC